RNAcentral lists this ribosomal RNA (492 nucleotides) under uncultured bacterium. RNAcentral's name for it is "partial 16S ribosomal RNA". It matches the Rfam family "Bacterial small subunit ribosomal RNA", at positions 29 to 507 of the family's 1533-position model. The record is from RNAcentral.
AGUGAACGCUGGCGGUAGGCCUAACACAUGCAAGUCGAACGGCAGCACAGUAAGAGCUUGCUCUUACGGGUGGCGAGUGGCGGACGGGUGAGGAAUACAUCGGAAUCUACUUUUUCGUGGGGGAUAACGUAGGGAAACUUACGCUAAUACCGCAUACGACCUACGGGUGAAAGCAGGGGAUCUUCGGACCUUGCGCGAUUGAAUGAGCCGAUGUCGGAUUAGCUAGUUGGCGGGGUAAAGGCCCACCAAGGCGACGAUCCGUAGCUGGUCUGAGAGGAUGAUCCGCCACACUGGAACUGAGACACGGUCCAGACUCCUACGGGAGGCAGCAGUGGGGAAUAUUGGACGAUGGGCGCAAGCCUAAUCCAGCCAUACCGCGUAGGUGAAGAAGGCCUUCGGGUUGUAAAGCCCUUUUGUUGGGAAAGAAAAGCAGCAGGUUAAUACCCCGCUGUUCUGACGGUACCCAAAGAAUAAGCACCGGCUAACUUCGUG